GAUGAACGCUGGCGGCGUGCUUAACACAUGCAAGUCGGACGAUGAAGCCCAGCUUGCUGGGUGGAUUAGUGGCGAACGGGUGAGUAACACGUGAGUAACCUGCCCUUGACUCUGGGAUAAGCCCGGGAAACUGGGUCUAAUACCGGAUAGGAGCGCCUGUCGCAUGACGGGUGUUGGAAAGAUUUUUCGGUCAUGGAUGGACUCGCGGCCUAUCAGCUUGUUGGUGAGGUAAUGGCUCACCAAGGCGACGACGGGUAGCCGGCCUGAGAGGGUGACCGGCCACACUGGGACUGAGACACGGCCCAGACUCCUACGGGAGGCAGCAGUGGGGAAUAUUGCACAAUGGGCGGAAGCCUGAUGCAGCGACGCCGCGUGAGGGAUGACGGCCUUCGGGUUGUAAACCUCUUUCAGUAGGGAAGAAGCGAAAGUGACGGUACCUGCAGAAGAAGCACCGGCUAACUACGUG
RNAcentral lists this ribosomal RNA (466 nucleotides) under uncultured bacterium. Its description in RNAcentral is "partial 16S ribosomal RNA". It matches the Rfam family "Bacterial small subunit ribosomal RNA", at positions 28 to 507 of the family's 1533-position model. The record is from RNAcentral.